RNAcentral lists this ribosomal RNA (524 nucleotides) under uncultured bacterium. Its description in RNAcentral is "partial 16S ribosomal RNA". It matches the Rfam family "Bacterial small subunit ribosomal RNA", at positions 28 to 523 of the family's 1533-position model. The record is from RNAcentral.
GACGAACGCUGGCGGCGUGCCUAAUACAUGCAAGUCGAACGAAGCUGUUUUAACUGGUGCUUGCACCGACUUAAACAACUGAGUGGCGAACGGGUGAGUAACACGUGGGUAACCUGCCCCAAAGCGGGGGAUAACAUUUGGAAACAGGUGCUAAUACCGCAUAAUCACAGAAACCACAUGGUUUCUGUGUCAAAGAUGGUUUCGCCUAUCACUUUGGGAUGGACCCGCGGCGUAUUAGCCUGUUGGUAAGGUAAUGGCUUACCAAGGCAAUGAUACGUAGCCGAACUGAGAGGUUGAUAGGCCACAUUGGGACUGAGACACGGCCCAAACUCCUACGGGAGGCAGCAGUAGGGAAUCUUCCACAAUGGACGAAAGUCUGAUGGAGCAACGCCGCGUGAGUGAAGAAGGUUUUCGGAUCGUAAAACUCUGUUGUCAGAGAAGAACGUGUGCGAGAGUAACUGUUCGUGCAGUGACGGUAUCUGGCCAGAAAGCCACGGCUAACUACGUGCCAGCCGCCGCCGUAA